RNAcentral lists this transfer RNA (69 nucleotides) under Canis lupus familiaris (dog). It matches the Rfam family "tRNA". From Rfam's summary of the family: Transfer RNA (tRNA) molecules are approximately 80 nucleotides in length. Their secondary structure includes four short double-helical elements and three loops (D, anti-codon, and T loops). The record is from Rfam by way of RNAcentral. RNAcentral also lists the same sequence under 1 other name. Lineage: Eukaryota; Metazoa; Chordata; Mammalia; Carnivora; Canidae.
GCCUGGGUGGCUCAGUGGUUGAGCAUCUGCCUUUGGCUCAGGUCCUGGGAUCAAGUCCCAUAUCAGGCU